GCCAAAAGAUAAACAAAUCUGUAAGGUGAAACCUGCUCAGUGGCCAGAAGAUUAGAUAUUCUUGAUAGGGUAAAUUCUGGUUAAACAGCCGCCCAAAUCCUAAAGGGUGUGAAAUAAGCAUAAUCGGAUGCCGUUUAAUUGGCGGAGAGUUGAAUGGAUUCACGAGUGCGAAGCUGUCUUGAGCCAAAAGAUAUUGAAGUAGAUUUGCGAGUGAAGAAGCUCGCUCCAGCUAUAAGACGAAAAGACCCCGUGAAGCUUAACUAUAUUUUUGGUUAACCCAAUUGGAAGGGAUUGGUCUAUUGAUAAAUAGACGUCAUAAUUCUGUUUUUAGCUGAAUUGGUAGUUUUGAUGGGGUGUUAGCACGUUAAAUGUAACAUGGAGUUAAAUUCAUAACUACUGCAAGACUAGUGUAAUUAACCUAUUUAUACAGAGAUAAAGAUCGUUUAAGUGACCCGCCUAUUUUUUGAGAUAAAGACGACAAAGGAUAAUAGCUACUCCGGGGAUAACAGGGUAAUUGUUAUCAGGAGUUCUCAUUUUGGUAGCCGUUUACCACCUCGAUGUUGAAUUGAGUUUUCCUGGAGAUAAAGAAGAUUCCAAGGGUAGGACUGUUCGUCCUUUAAUAACUU
RNAcentral lists this ribosomal RNA (626 nucleotides) under Sulculeolaria quadrivalvis. Its description in RNAcentral is "partial 16S ribosomal RNA". It matches the Rfam family "Bacterial large subunit ribosomal RNA", at positions 1825 to 2597 of the family's 2925-position model. The record is from RNAcentral. Lineage: Eukaryota; Metazoa; Cnidaria; Hydrozoa; Siphonophorae; Diphyidae.